This 310-nucleotide ribosomal RNA is filed under the name uncultured bacterium. RNAcentral's name for it is "partial 16S ribosomal RNA". It matches the Rfam family "Bacterial small subunit ribosomal RNA", at positions 503 to 808 of the family's 1533-position model. The record is from RNAcentral.
AAGAGACAGCAGUCGCCGCGGUAACACGUAGGUCCCGAGCGUUGUCCGGAUUUAUUGGGCGUAAAGCGAGCGCAGGCGGUUAGAUAAGUCUGAAGUUAAAGGCUGUGGCUUAACCAUAGUACGCUUUGGAAACUGUUUAACUUGAGUGCAGAAGGGGAGAGUGGAAUUCCAUGUGUAGCGGUGAAAUGCGUAGAUAUACGGAGGAACACCGGUGGCGAAAGCGGCUCUCUGGUCUGUAACUGACGCUGAGGCUCGAAAGCGUGGGGAGCAAACAGGAUUAGAGACCCCUGUAGUCCCUGUCUCUUAUACA